RNAcentral lists this ribosomal RNA (253 nucleotides) under uncultured prokaryote. Its description in RNAcentral is "partial 16S ribosomal RNA". It matches the Rfam family "Bacterial small subunit ribosomal RNA", at positions 524 to 776 of the family's 1533-position model. The record is from RNAcentral.
UACGUAGGGACCAAGCGUUGUUCGGAUUUACUGGGCGUAAAGGGCACGUAGGCGGCCUAACAAGUCACUUGUGAAAUCUCCGGGCUUAACUCGGAAUGGCCAAGUGAAACUGUCAGGCUAGAGUGCAGAAGGGGCAAUCGGAAUUCUUGGUGUAGCGGUGAAAUGCGUAGAUAUCAAGAGGAACACCCGUGGCGAAGGCGGUUCUCUGGGACGGUACUGACGCUGAGACGCGAAAGCGUGGGGAGCGAACAGG